Molecule: ribosomal RNA, 256 nt
Filed under: uncultured bacterium
Lineage: Bacteria
Description: partial 16S ribosomal RNA
Rfam family: Bacterial small subunit ribosomal RNA
Source: RNAcentral
UACGUAGGGGGCAAGCGUUGUCCGGAUUCAUUGGGCGUAAAGAGCGUGUAGGCGGCCAGGUAGGUCGGUUGUGAAAACUGGAGGCUCAACCUUCAGAGGUCGACCGAAACCAUCUGGCUAGAGUCCGGGAGAGGAGAGUGGAAUUCCUGGUGUAGCGGUGAAAUGCGCAGAUAUCAGGAAGAACACCCGUGGCGAAAAGCGGCUCUCUGGAACGGUACUGACGCUGAGACGCGAAAAGCGUGGGGGAGCGAACAGG